RNAcentral lists this ribosomal RNA (481 nucleotides) under uncultured bacterium. RNAcentral describes it as "partial 16S ribosomal RNA". It matches the Rfam family "Bacterial small subunit ribosomal RNA", at positions 28 to 507 of the family's 1533-position model. The record is from RNAcentral.
GAUGAACGCUGGCGGCGUGCUUAACACAUGCAAGUCGAACGAAGCACUUUAUUUGAUUUCCUUCGGGACUGAUUAUUUUGUGACUGAGUGGCGGACGGGUGAGUAACGCGUGGGUAACCUGCCUUGUGCAGGGGGAUAACAGUUGGAAACGGCUGCUAAUACCGCAUAAGCGCACAGCAUCGCAUGAUGCAGUGUGAAAAACUCCGGUGGUAUAAGAUGGACCCGCGUUGGAUUAGCUAGUUGGUGAGGUAACGGCCCACCAAGGCGACGAUCCAUAGCCGACCUGAGAGGGUGACCGGCCACAUUGGGACUGAGACACGGCCCAAACUCCUACGGGAGGCAGCAGUGGGGAAUAUUGCACAAUGGGCGAAAGCCUGAUGCAGCGACGCCGCGUGAGCGAAGAAGUAUUUCGGUAUGUAAAGCUCUAUCAGCAGGGAAGAUAAUGACGGUACCUGACUAAGAAGCACCGGCUAAAUACGUG